RNAcentral lists this ribosomal RNA (169 nucleotides) under uncultured Alphaproteobacteria bacterium. RNAcentral's name for it is "partial 16S ribosomal RNA". It matches the Rfam family "Bacterial small subunit ribosomal RNA", at positions 338 to 524 of the family's 1533-position model. The record is from RNAcentral. Lineage: Bacteria; Pseudomonadati; Pseudomonadota; Alphaproteobacteria.
CCUACGGGAGGCAGCAGUGGGGAAUAUUGGACAAUGGGGGCAACCCUGAUCCAGCCAUGCCGCGUGAAUGAUGAAGGCCUUCGGGUUGUAAAGUUCUUUUGGUAGGGACGAUGAUGACGGUACCUACAGAAUAAGCUCCGGCUAACUUCGUGCCAGCAGCCGCGGUAAU